CCCUUAGAUGUUCUGGGCCGCACGCGCGCUACACUGUCGGAUUCAGCGAGUCUUAACCUUAACCGAAAGGUUUGGGUAAUCUUUUGAAAGUCCGACGUGAUGGGGAUUGAUCAUUGCAAUUAUUGAUCAUGAACGAGGAAUUCCUAGUAAGCGCGAGUCAUCAGCUCGCGUUGAUUACGUCCCUGCCCUUUGUACACACCGCCCGUCGCUACUACCGAUUGAAUGGUUUAGUGAGAUCUCCGGAUUGGCACCAUCGCGGCUUCGCGGCUGUGACGGAAUGCCGAAAAGUUGAUCAAACUUGNUNAUUUAUNGGAAGUAAAANUCGUANCA
Molecule: ribosomal RNA, 330 nt
Filed under: uncultured eukaryote
Lineage: Eukaryota
Description: partial 18S ribosomal RNA
Rfam family: Eukaryotic small subunit ribosomal RNA
Source: RNAcentral